Molecule: small RNA, 1035 nt
Filed under: uncultured Paenibacillus sp.
Lineage: Bacteria; Bacillati; Bacillota; Bacilli; Caryophanales; Paenibacillaceae
Description: bacterial LSU rRNA
Rfam family: Bacterial large subunit ribosomal RNA (bases 531-1035)
Source: RNAcentral
CGCCCGUCACACCACGAGAGUUUACAACACCCGAAGCCGGUGGGGUAACCGCAAGGAGCCAGCCGUCGAAGGUGGGGUAGAUGAUUGGGGUGAAGUCGUAACAAGGUAGCCGUAUCGGAAGGUGCGGCUGGAUCACCUCCUUUCUAUGGAGAAUCGUUUCCUGCAACGGAAACAUUCAAAUAUACGCACGACGAAAGUCGGCGGAACACUUUGCAUUAGCAAAGUCUCAUCAUCCCAUUUGUUCAGUUUUGAUGGAACUUGAGGGGCCAUAGCUCAGCUGGGAGAGCGCCUGCCUUGCACGCAGGAGGUCAGCGGUUCGAUCCCGCUUGGCUCCACCAUAAGAUUCUGUCAAUUUAAUUUGUUCUUUGAAAACUAGAUAAACGAAACAAUUUUGCGAUUUAGAAAUAUCCUUUUCACUUUACUCGUGUCAAAACAAGUAAAGAUGAAAUAGAGUGCUAAGUGGAAUUUUUCGAAUGACGAACGACUUUUGCUUUAGCAACUGGAGAGGGUCAGUCGAAAAAUGAAACGUUGGUUAAGCUAUUAAGAGCACACGGAGGAUGCCUAGGCGCUAGGAGCCGAUGAAGGACGUGGCGAACAACGAUACUGCCUCGGGGAGCUGUACGCAAGCUUUGAUCCGGGGAUGUCCGAAUGGGGAAACCCAGCUAUCGUAAUGGAUAGUUAUCUCCACCUGAAUACAUAGGGUGGUUGAAGGCAGACCAGGGGAACUGAAACAUCUAAGUACCUUGAGGAAGAGAAAACAAUAGUGAUUCCGUCAGUAGCGGCGAGCGAACGCGGAUUAGCCCAAACCAGGGAGCUUGCUCUCUGGGGUUGUGGGACGUCUCACAUGGAGUUACAAAGGAACCGAUUAAACGAAGAGGUCUGGAAAGGCCCGCCAAAGAAGGUAACAGCCCUGUAAUUGAAAGUCUGUUCUCUCCGAGACGGAUCCCGAGUAGUGCGGGGCACGUGAAACCCCGUAUGAAUCCGGCAGGACCAUCUGCCAAGGCUAAAUACUCCCUAGCGACCGAUAGUGAAGCA